RNAcentral lists this unclassified non-coding RNA (253 nucleotides) under plant metagenome. RNAcentral's name for it is "partial contains small subunit ribosomal RNA, internal transcribed spacer 1, and 5.8S ribosomal RNA". The record is from RNAcentral.
UUUCCGUAGGUGAACCUGCGGAAGGAUCAUUACUGAUUUUUGAAUGAAGUUGUUCUCGUCUUUCGGGCCAAGUGAUCGUUUCUCGCAAUCCAUCUUCCACCUGUGCACCUAUCGGGGAAGACUUGGAUCUAAGUUGGGUCACGACGGCGAUCUACAGUCUCCUCUUUAUACUAAAUGAAAGUUUUAGAAAGUCUUUUUUGCUUUAUUCAAACUUAAAUAAAUACAACUUUCAGCAACGGAUCUCUUGGCUCUC